Molecule: transfer RNA, 91 nt
Filed under: Drepanopeziza brunnea f. sp. 'multigermtubi' MB_m1
Lineage: Eukaryota; Fungi; Ascomycota; Leotiomycetes; Helotiales; Drepanopezizaceae
Description: Marssonina brunnea f. sp. 'multigermtubi' MB_m1 tRNA
Rfam family: tRNA
About the family: Transfer RNA (tRNA) molecules are approximately 80 nucleotides in length.
Source: Rfam by way of RNAcentral
GGCCUGCUGGCCCAAUGGCAAGGCGCUUGACUACGAUUAAUGUCCCAUUAGUUGCAUCAAGAGAUUGCAGGUUCGAUCCCUGCGUAGGUCA